This 498-nucleotide ribosomal RNA is filed under the name Areopaguristes sp. USNM 1548044. RNAcentral's name for it is "partial small subunit ribosomal RNA". Lineage: Eukaryota; Metazoa; Arthropoda; Malacostraca; Decapoda; Diogenidae. The record is from RNAcentral.
CCAUAAAGAAACCUUAAUUCAACAUCGAGGUCGCAAACUUUUUCUUCGAUAUGAACUUUCCGAAAAAAUAACGCCGUUCUCCCUUAAGUAUGUUAAUACUGGAAACCAGUGGGUAGAUACCCCAUUAUACUUUAUUGAAAUAUUAUUGGACUAGAGUAAUAAUAGAUAUAAACUUGAAAUUCAAAGAAUUUGGCGGUACUUUAAUCUAACUAGAGGAACCUGUUUUAUAAACGAUAUGCCACGAAAAAUCUUACUUAUUUUAAAUAGUUUGUAUACCGUCAUUAUUAGAUAAUUUUUAAAGAAAAAAUUAUUUAAAUUAAUAUAAUUAAAUAUAUUAGAUCAAGGUGCAGCUUAUAAAUAAGAAAAAAUGGGUUACUAAUAAAUUUAUUUAGGUGAAUUUAAGACUUUAAAAGUUUAAWGAAGACGGAUUUAGUUGUAUAUUUAAUUUAAUAAGUUAAAUAAAAAUUAGCUCUAAAGUGUGUACAUAUCGCCCGUCGC